Long non-coding RNA from Eucalyptus grandis, 1603 nucleotides. RefSeq lists it as uncharacterized. The record is from RefSeq and is a predicted model, not a curated record. Lineage: Eukaryota; Viridiplantae; Streptophyta; Magnoliopsida; Myrtales; Myrtaceae. The transcript has 12 exons.
ACUGCUCGCCCUCCUCUGUCUCUGCCCGACGCUGCUCGCCCUCGACGAGUUCCUCUCUGGCAAGACCUACAUCUUCGAGUAACGCUUCCUCGACGAAUCGGGCGAUCACCUUCUCGAAUCUCCACACGGAGCCGGGCCUCAAGUCCCUCGACGAGUUCCUCUCCGGCAAGACCUACAUCUCCGGAAAUCAGCUCACGAAGGAGGAAGGACGACAUCAAAGGCGUCAUUUUAUUACUAUUCUAUUGAGGGGAUGAAAGUUGUGUGCCACAAACUGGAGCAAGCCACUAAUGAUCCAGAUGGCAGUGGUAUGAAGGAUCUUGUGAAGGUCUCGGAUAAACUUGUUUUAUCCUUGGCAGAUAAGGUUGCCAAGACAUUUGACUUCAGCUUAACAGGAGCUUCGUCAAGGUCAUGCAAGUAUGUUUUGAAUACCCUCAUGCAGACAUUUCAAAACAGACAACUUGCGCAUGCUGUCAAGGAGGGCUCUCUUGACCGCCUUAUUACUGAGCUUCUACUUAGACUUUUGGAUGAAAGAGUGCCACGCAUGGAUGAUGGAAGCCAACUUUUGAAAGCUCUGAAUGUAUUGAUGCUUAAAAUUCUGGUAAUUUUAACAAUAUUAGCUGCAUUGACAAAGACUGGUUUCAUGAUGGCAGAUCUGACUGUGGACAUCAGGCUUUAUUGGUUCUUGGAUUUUUUCCAGAGGCUAUUGCAGCAUUGAUUGAAGCGUUGCGCUCAGUCAAGGAGUCGGAGCCCACUGCAAAGAGUGGCGGAGCUUCACCCCUGGAUGUUGCGAUUUUUCAUUCAACAGCAGAGAUUUUUGAAAUCAUUGUUACUGAUUCCACAGCAUCUUCUCUGGGCUCCUGGAUUGAAUGUGCAGUCGAACUUCAUGGAGCUUUACAUUCCUCGUCCCCAGGGUCAACUAGAAAAUACACUCCCACACGAUUUUUGGAAUGGAUAGAUGCUGGUGUAGUUUUACUGUUGAAGCUUGUUUUACUGCCAAAUUCCAGUGUGGCCAUCUUCAGUCACUAUAUUACAAGAUGAAUUAGAUUACACUUGAUUAUUACACUUGAAAGUGGAGGCAUGUAUCAGAUUCGAGAAGCAAACCAAAUGGUGGAGGAGUUCAUGCUUGCCGCCAAUGUUUCAGUUGCUGAAAAAAUCUUUAAACACUAUCCUCUAUGUUCUCUGUUGAGGCGGCAUCCUACACCAACAAAAGAGAUGCUCGAACCCUUGCUGCGUACAUCUGCUUCUGUUGGUCUUGCGUUGGACGUAUCUUCAUCAAAAGCACUGGCUGAUUCACUUGACCGUGCAGUGGGAGAAGAUCCAUAUUUUAACAAAUUGAUACGAAUACUUGCAACUAGAUGCAUGACACAGGCAGUAUAUUUCUGUAGUGGAGACUUGACUUCGCCAGAAUACCAACAUUAUGGGCUGGCUGCCCCAUUAUAUACUCAUUUUACUUCAUCUAUCAGGCGAUAUGCUGAUGUCAUUGUGCACAGGUUGCUUGCUGCAUCAUUAGGAAUUUACAAGCUUCCAACCAUACUUCAAGACAGACCCCAGUUAUUGCUGCAUUCAUUUUCAUUUUUUUAAAUUAAAAAUGAAAAAAAAAAAA